RNAcentral lists this long non-coding RNA (2100 nucleotides) under Nicotiana benthamiana. RNAcentral describes it as "long non-coding RNA (NBEN_LNC039675)". Lineage: Eukaryota; Viridiplantae; Streptophyta; Magnoliopsida; Solanales; Solanaceae. The record is from RNAcentral.
UCUCACACCCCUAAUACACCACGGUUCGCCACCGUCCUCCACCGUCUGGCGCCGAUCGAAAAUCGCCUCCACCAGCGGCUAGUCUCCGAUGGCCACCAAAAUUUUACCAUCGCCUCUCCUUCACCUCCGCAUUCCAUAUCUACCCACAGUUUCCUUUAAGUCCCACUCAAACGGCUCAAAUAAACGAAACUCUAGUCACCGCCUCCGCUGUGCACGGCGGCACCACCUCCAAACCUCCCCAAAAUAAUACCCUAAGGUGUCCUCACCUUCUUCUUCCCAAAUCCAAAACCAAUUUCCCUCGAAUCCAACCAUAAUUAUGCAAAUUUUAGAUCUAGGGUUUUAUUCAAGACGAGUCAAAUUUUCAAGGCUGGCCAAUGUUCGAUUGGGGUUCCUAAGAAUAUAUGCUUGUUAUUAGCAAGAACAAGCAUGUAACAUUAUUUAGAGACUCGAUUCAGGGUCAGUCCAAACUAUAACCUAAACAGCAGGUUUCUCAAUCUUUUUCUUUCUCUUUGCAUAAAUAAAUAUGUCUUUAAUGCAUAUUUUAUGUUCUUUCAUUUCCAGUAUUUCUUUUAUUUUUGUUUGAGUUAGAGUUCUUCGAUUUGGGUCUCUGAUUUUAGUGUAUCGCAGUCAUAUGGUUUAGUUCUUAUUUGAUUGUGUGUUUGUUUCGAUUGCAUGAUCCCUGAUUGUUUCUGUUAAUUUGACUUUAGUUUCAAUUUUGUUUGUUUGCUGUUAAUUGUUAGUUCACUGAUUGUCUUAGGUUAUAGUAUUGAUUAGAAUUGAUUUGAUUAGUUAGAUUGAUUAUUUCAAUUUUAGGAAUUGUUUGGAUAAAGAAGAAUACUCCCAGCCCUUGAUUGACUAACCAUGGUUAGUUGUGACCAAGAUUAACAGGGCUGGGAGUUAGUUUGACUAGGUUAGUAAUUUAGGGUUGAAUUCUAGGGUAGUGUAGGUAUUUCAAAAUAGAGAAUCGUAUAGUAACUGAAAAUGGAACUCCCUAGGACCUUCUAGAUGGGUUUUAAUUAGAAUUUCAAGAAGUUAGUAGUAUAACUUGACUUAUAAGCCAAAAUUCUAGGGACUAAACAGUUGAAAAUUGAAAAUUAAAUAAGGGACUAAGGGUGUAAAAUAAAAUCUGAAAGUUACCUUAGUUUUUAUCAAUGAAAGGGCAGUCUACCCUGCCUUGAAAGCUAACUUUUAGAGAUCCAAAAUUUGAAAUUCAAAAAUCUGAAGUUUAGAACAUUCAGAUCUGGAAAAAAUUCAAAAGAAGUUUUGAGAGCUAGAAGUCCAAAAAAUUCAAAGCUCUUAGAUCCUGAAAUCUGCAAAUCCAAAAAACCAAAAAAUAUCUUAAAAUUUGAAAGUUUGAGAGGGAAACUGAAAAGAAAAAACUACUGCAAAUCUGAGAGUUUAUUGACCAUUUUAGAGUUUAGACCUUCAAUUUAUUUGCAUUCCGAAUUCUAAAUUCCGGUGGUAGAGUUUCAGAAGUCCUGGUGUUAUUUCAAGCUCUAUUCAAUCUGUUUUUGGUUGUCUGCUGGUUUUGUCCCUUUGCGAUUAACUUCUGGGCUGUUUUGAUGUUAUUCUUUAGGUUUCAAAACUGAUCUAUUUAUUGUUGUUCGUUGUUGCCUAGCUGACCUUCAUUUCCCAUUUUUCUAUUCACAUUCCAAGAAUAUUAUUGGUCUCCGGUGAUGUAUGAAGCUUGAACUAAGUGUAUUAUCAAGUUUGAAGAUAAUUGUUAUUUGAUUCCCCAUGAAUUCCUACUAUUUCUGCUUUAAUUGUGAUGCUUAUCAUAGUUAAGACAUUGCUUUGUAAUAACUGGAUGUUUGGACUAUUAUUUUUAGACUUAUGUGAGUAUCCAGCAGUAAUGUUAGCUGUAGUACAGUUAAUUCAUAUUUUUCUAUCAUGUUACUUUGAGAAUUAGAUUUUGAAUAAGAUGUUGGUCCGAAAUUGAAUCCAGCAAAUCAUUUGAGUUGUGAGCAUGUGUUUAAAUGUGCUGAUUACUUUAGUUUGCUCGUCAGGUGCCUGUUGCAAAAGUAAAAUCCAAAAGGGCUCACAUACAACUCAAAAUAUCAGAAUACUUUGCAUUCACAUUGGACUUCAUAUUUGUUUAAG